Molecule: microRNA precursor, 152 nt
Filed under: Podarcis lilfordi (Lilford's wall lizard)
Lineage: Eukaryota; Metazoa; Chordata; Lepidosauria; Squamata; Lacertidae
Source: RNAcentral
CUGCCAGUUGCCAUACCAGAGUGUCUCUCUCUCUCUCUCUCUCUCUCUCUCUCUCUCUCUCUCUCUCUCUCUCUCUCACACACACACACACAGAGAGAGAGAGAGAGAGAGAGAGAGAGAUUUACAGACACACUGGGGAGAAACACAGAAAA